RNAcentral lists this ribosomal RNA (1318 nucleotides) under metagenome. RNAcentral's name for it is "bacterial LSU rRNA". It matches the Rfam family "Bacterial large subunit ribosomal RNA", at positions 1594 to 2925 of the family's 2925-position model. The record is from RNAcentral.
AUGAUGUCAAGCUUCCAAGAAAAGCCCUAUACCCGUUAAGGCAUGAUGGCCUGCACCCGAAACCGACACAGGUGGGGUGGUAGAGAAUACCGAGGGGCGCGAGGUAACUCUCUCUAAGGAACUCGGCAAAAUGGCCCCGUAACUUCGGGAGAAGGGGUGCCACCGCGAGGUGGUCGCAGUGAAGAGGCCCAGGCGACUGUUUACCAAAAACACAGGUCUCCGCUAAGUCGCAAGACGAUGUAUGGGGGCUGACGCCUGCCCAGUGCCGGAAGGUUAAGGAAGCUGGUCAGCGCAAGCGAAGCUGGCGACUGAAGCCCCGGUGAACGGCGGCCGUAACUAUAACGGUCCUAAGGUAGCGAAAUUCCUUGUCGGGUAAGUUCCGACCCGCACGAAAGGCGUAACGAUCUGGGCGCUGUCUCGGAGAGAGGCUCGGCGAAAUAGAAUUGUCUGUGAAGAUGCGGACUACGUGCACCCGGACAGAAAGACCCUAUGAAGCUUUACUGUAGCUUGGUAUUGUGCUCGGGCUCGGAAUGCGCAGGAUAGGUGGGAGGCUUUGAUCCAUUGCUUGCGGGUGAUGGUGAGCCACUGGUGAGAUACCACUCUUUCCGAGCUAGAGUUCUAACAGCAACCCGUUAUCCGGGUGCUGGACAGUAUCAGGUGGGCAGUUUGACUGGGGCGGUCGCCUCCUAAAAGGUAACGGAGGCGCGCAAAGGUCUGCUCAGGCUGGUUGGAAAUCAGCCGACGAGUGUAAAAGCAGAAGCAGGCUUGACUGUGAGACCUACAAGUCGAACAGGGAGGAAACUCGGCUUUAGUGAUCCGACGGUUCUGCGUGGAAGGGCCGUCGCUCAACGGAUAAAAGUUACUCUAGGAUAACAGGCUGAUCUCCCCCAAGAGUUCACAUCGACGGGGAGGUUUGGCACCUCGAUGUCGGCUCAUCGCAACCUGGGGCUGAAGUCGGUCCCAAGGGUUGGGCUGUUCGCCCAUUAAAGCGGUACGCGAGCUGGGUUCAGAACGUCGUGAGACAGUUCGGUCCAUAUCCGGUGCACGCGCAGGAAUAUUGAGAGGAUUUCUCCCUAGUACGAGAGGACCGGGAGGAACGCACCUCUGGUGUGCCAGUUAUCGUGCCAACGGUAAACGCUGGGUAGCCAUGUGCGGAGUGGAUAACCGCUGAAAGCAUCUAAGUGGGAAGCCCACCUCAAGAUGAGUAUUCCCAUGGCAUAAGCCAGUAAGGUCACGGGAAGAACACCCGUUGAUAGGCUCUACGUGGAAGCGCAGUAAUGUGUGAAGCGGAGGAGUACUAAUAGACCGAGGGCUUGAC